This 462-nucleotide ribosomal RNA is filed under the name uncultured bacterium. RNAcentral describes it as "bacterial SSU rRNA". It matches the Rfam family "Bacterial small subunit ribosomal RNA", at positions 49 to 524 of the family's 1533-position model. The record is from RNAcentral.
UUACACAUGCAGUCGAACGAUGACGACAGGGCUUGCCUUGUCUGAUUAGUGGCGAACGGGUGAGUAACACGUGAGUAACCUGCCCCCCUCUUCGGGAUAACCUCGGGAAAUCGGGGCUAAUACCGGAUAUGACUUCGCACCGCAUGGUGUGUUGUGGAAAGUUUUUCGGUGGGGGAUGGACUCGCGGCCUAUCAGUUUGUUGGUGAGGUAAUGGCUCACCAAGGCGAUGACGGGUAGCCGGCCUGAGAGGGCGACCGGCCACACUGGGACUGAGACACGGCCCAGACUCCUACGGGAGGCAGCAGUGGGGAAUAUUGCACAAUGGGCGAAAGCCUGAUGCAGCGACGCCGCGUGGGGGAUGACGGCCUUCGGGUUGUAAACCUCUUUCAGUAGGGAAGAAGCGAAAGUGACGGUACCUGCAGAAGAAGCGCCGGCUAACUACGUGCCAGCAGCCGCGGUAAU